UACGUAGGGGGCGAGCGUUGUCCGGAUUUAUUGGGCGUAAAGAGCUCGUAGGCGGUUCGAUAAGUCGGAUGUGAAAUCUCCACGCUCAACGUGGAGGCGCCAUUCGAUACUGUCGUGACUCGAGUCCGGUAGGGGAGUGUGGAAUUCCCGGUGUAGCGGUGAAGUGCGCAGAGAUCGGGAGGAACACCCGUAGCGAAGGCGGCACUCUGGGCCGGUACUGACGCUGAGGAGCGAAAGCGUGGGGAGCAAACAGG
This 254-nucleotide ribosomal RNA is filed under the name uncultured bacterium. Its description in RNAcentral is "partial 16S ribosomal RNA". It matches the Rfam family "Bacterial small subunit ribosomal RNA", at positions 524 to 776 of the family's 1533-position model. The record is from RNAcentral.